Molecule: ribosomal RNA, 492 nt
Filed under: uncultured bacterium
Lineage: Bacteria
Description: partial 16S ribosomal RNA
Rfam family: Bacterial small subunit ribosomal RNA
Source: RNAcentral
AGUGAACGCUGGCGGUAGGCCUAACACAUGCAAGUCGAACGGCAGCACAGUAAGAGCUUGCUCUUACGGGUGGCGAGUGGCGGACGGGUGAGGAAUACAUCGGAAUCUACUUUUUCGUGGGGGAUAACGUAGGGAAACUUCCGCUAAUACCGCAUACGACCUACGGGUGGAAGUAGGGGAUCUUCGGACCUUGCGCGAUUGAAUGAGCCGAUGUCGGAUUAGCUAGUUGGCGGGGUAAAGGCCCACCAAGGCGACGAACCGAAGCUGGACUGAGAGGAUGAUCAGCCACACUGGAACUGAGACACGGUCCAGACUCCUACGGGAGGCAGCAGUGGGGAAUAUUGGACAAUGGACGCAAGCCUGAUCCAGCCAUGCCGCGUGAGUGAAGAAGGCCUUCGGGUUGUAAAGCCCUUUUGUUGGGAAAGAAAAGCAGCAGGUUAAUACCCCGCUGUUCUGACGGUACCCAAAGAAUAAGCACCGGCUAACUUCGUG